ACUCGAGGAGGUGGUGACAACAGUGGCCUGACUUCAGAUUGUGCCCAUCCAGUGUUCUGGGAUUUUGGAGCCUUCUGUAUAGGGAGUCAGCCAUUCAGGAUGACGUUUUCUCUCCCCAAGGCCUUGGUUCCUUGUUCUGGGAUAUCCAGCAGAACGGCCAUCAGAUGCUGUGAGCUUAAAAGACAAGAGCUUCAUCCUCCAAAUGAUCAGUGAUUUUGAGGACACACCACUCAUUCAUUCAUUCAUCCUGCAAACAUUUUCUUUUUUAGUGUUUUCCAUGCAAAUAGCUGUGUGCCUCUGGGCAAAUUAACUUCUGUGAGCCUCAGUUUGCUCUUUUAUAUACGGGGAAUAAUAAAACACUCUUCAUAAGGUUAAGUGCCCAGUUUCAGGAAUAUGGUAGUCACUCAGGCAAUGAUAGUUAUUCUUAUUAGAGUCUAAUAAGCUGUAAAUCUCACAGUAUCAGCAAGGCAUAAAAGAUAUUUAAAUACAUUUAGUCAGCAACAUACACACGAGUGUUAACUGAUACCCCAGUGCAUGUUGAGGACAUAGCCCCUGAAUAACCUUGGAAGGCUCCCCAAAGGAGUGAGACAUGGCGUCUCAUGUAAAGAGCACCCUAAAUCUUAGAGCUAGAAUCAAAACUGAGUAAGGUCUACCCCUUGUCUCCAGUCUGACACAGUAUAAUUGUUAUUUUCUCAUUUUUCAGUUGAAGAAACAAGAAGAAAGUGAGAUGAAGAGUCUUAGACGCUCUUCAUUGAGUUAGAUACCAUUAAUACGUUCUUUUCACAAAUGAAGAAACUGAGACUUAGAGAAGAUAAUCCUCCCCCAGUGGCACAUCAUUAAUCAGUGGUGAACCUCAACUGGGUCUGCAGGUAACCUAGCUCCAGAGACUAGGAUUGUGACCCCAUGACUCCAUGGGAACAGAGGCUACUGUGGGAAGAAUAUUGAAUUUGGAGUCAAACCAACCAACCUGGUUUGUAAUCUCUGCUCCAGCACAGACGAUUUUGUGAACCUGGGAAAGGCACUUAACCUUCUGGGCUCUGUUUUCUUUAUCUGGUAACUAGAAAUGAUGAUAUCCACCCUGUAGGGUACUAAACAAUGACAAAUACAUAUAGGAAGGGUUUCUCAUGGUUCCUUGGAUAGAGUAAAUCACACCUUAGAUCUUCCUAGGCUCUUCAAGUUUAUAAGAACUUUUGCAGACAUGACUAUAUGGGAAUUGCCCAAUGAGAUAUGCAGGGAAGAGAUAUUUAUCUCCCUUCCAUAGAUGAGGAAAGUGAGCCAGAGAGGGAAAGAAGAGUGAAGGGAAUUCUCUUAAACUCCCCACUUAUUUAACAAAUCUCAGCUCAGCAGCUCUUCUAUUCCAGAAUCACAUUAUCUUGAGGGGUAUAAGGAUUGUUUUCAUUUUUCUAGAUGAGGCACUAAGCCUCAGAGAAACUGUACAACUUGCACAGGGCCAUAGAACAAAUCAUAAGAAGCGUUGGGAAUUAAACCAGGGUAUGUGUGGACCCCAGACAUGGCUAUGGUAGAGUGAUUUGCUCCAGGGUCACAAGGUGGUAAGGGGCACAGCCAAGGAAGGCUCCAACCCUAGCUUUCCAGGUUCAGAUCCAAAUUCUAAGCAAGUGUUGACUUACGCAAAAGGUUAAAAAGUCAGAACCUCAGAGCCAGGAAAUAUCACCUUCCUUGAUAAAACGUGGGCAAUCUUCCCAUUAUAACAUUUGCUGUCUACAGGAAACCUUCCCAGACAUAAACCGAUCCUAUCUUCUAGCCAAAGUGAUUUGGAGAUGGCUUAACUAAAGAGAUUUAAGAAGCAGACCCACCUACAAGGUAAUCAAUGAAAGGGGAUCGCUGACUUUGGCACGUGCAGUCUGCCACGAAAGUCUGUGAGACUGAUGGGUGUGGUUCUAUGAUAAGUACAAUCAGUAUGGGUUUUGGAAAAGAGAGGGUAACCUGGAGCCAGAGACAUGGGGUUCAAGUCUUGGUUUCUCCACGAUUGGCUGAACCACUCCACUUCUUUGUGUCUGACC
This is a long non-coding RNA of Rhinolophus ferrumequinum (greater horseshoe bat), 2021 nucleotides long. RefSeq lists it as uncharacterized. NCBI's taxonomy places the organism in Eukaryota, Metazoa, Chordata, Mammalia, Chiroptera, Rhinolophidae. The transcript has 3 exons. The record is from RefSeq and is a predicted model, not a curated record.